This is a long non-coding RNA of Sciurus carolinensis (gray squirrel), 531 nucleotides long. RefSeq lists it as uncharacterized. Lineage: Eukaryota; Metazoa; Chordata; Mammalia; Rodentia; Sciuridae. The record is from RefSeq and is a predicted model, not a curated record. The transcript is spliced from 3 exons.
AGCAGGCCUGGGGAUGCCUCCAGCCUCGCUUCCCCCAGCAGACCCCUCUGGUUGAGGGGCUGCUCUGCCAGUGUGGGGGUGGGGAUGGGGCAACUGCCCCAGGAGGGGAUAGGCAAAGGAAGCGAGGCCUCUUGCCCUGCUCAGGAAACGCUGAAGGUGUCGGGCGGUGGGCCCUGAUUUGGGAGAUUAGAGGCCCCCGCUGGUCCUGUGGCACAGCUUGCUGGUCCUGUAGCCCCUGCUGGCACAUCUUAUGGUACCUGCCAAAUACAACUCUGCCCUUUAAGGAAGGAAGAGCAGCUGAUCAUCCCUGAGACAAGGGAGGUGGAAUCAGAGGACUGAAGUGAGUGCUGACCAGACAGCAGCAGGCUGGGCAGUGCAUAGGGGCCAUGUGUCAUCUGUGGGUCACUGCCCUGGAUAGUGGGUAUAGUCCUUGAGUGUACAGAUGAUCAGGGCUGUGCAUUUUUUUUUGGGGGGGGGUGUCCUAGGGAUUUAACCCAGGAAAACUUUACCACUAAACUACAUCUCCCAACA